This 342-nucleotide ribosomal RNA is filed under the name Triticum aestivum (bread wheat). RNAcentral's name for it is "partial small subunit ribosomal RNA". The record is from RNAcentral. Lineage: Eukaryota; Viridiplantae; Streptophyta; Magnoliopsida; Poales; Poaceae.
AUGGUUGUGGCUUGGCCGCCGAGCACACAAUCCAUUGAUUCACACAUAAGGUCAAAACCGAGUCGCGGUGUACACAAUGCUGGGCAUUAUUUAUAUCGAAGGACGAGGAGGAAGAUUUGGAUGACCGUAACCACAAUGGCAAGAGCAGCAACAUGGUCGUCACCUGCAAUGCCGAUGGGUGCUGACAUUAUGAUGUUUGGUUUAUUUGUUGAAAGUUACAGCCCAUGUUUCAUGAUUUAUUUGCCACCGGUUAAUCAUGAUAUUUUGAAGUGCUCUGACAAUUGCUUGCUGUCUGCAUCUCUUACUUUUCAACUUGCUGCAUAUACAGAUAUACACCAUUAG